AGGAGGUUGGCGAAGAUGGAGAUUUUCUGGCUCUGUCCAGGCUCAUCCAGCACUACGACGUGCGGCCGGAACCCGCAGACCCGCUGGUGGAGCCCAAGACUCGGACCCUGCUCAUCCCGGCAAAGCCCAUCAACCUCCGCUUCCUGCCCCGAGCCUGAGGGGGGGGGGGGGGCGCCACUCGGGACCCGCAGGGCCAGUCCGCCGAGAACACGUUCCCCGUCAGGCUCUCAGAGGAACAUCUGGGACGUGUCUACCACCUGGAGUCCCCUCAGGAAUCAGGAAUUGUUACCAGAAUAUCGGAGACAUUCAAGGAAUUUGACUUGUCGGUGCGACAUGGACAACAAGACCGAGGAGACAACGUGCUGCAACAAAAUAGCAUGUUCAAUUUACAAAUUGACGCUUUGACUCUACGGUAUAAAAUAUAAGACUAGAGGGAAAUAGAAUAAGCAGUUUGAAAAUAAAGGAUAAGAAGGAAUUUAAAAUAAAAGUUCAAACUAAAGUGCACCAGCGAACACACACCUGUGUGUGAAGGAGGCCGGUGUGUGUGAGCAGUGUGAAGGGAGUGACGUCGGUGGGAUGUCAGUGGGGGGCCGUGUGACAUCGAUAAGAUGCUUAUGAAUCCAGUGGAUCUGAAACAAGUUCUUCUUCAUCUUCUAGUGAAGCGUUUGUCUUCUCUUAAUCGUUACAGCGUGAUGAUCAGCUACUAACACGGAACAUUUAGUCCUCAUUUGUUUUCACGUAUAGUUUAAUAUUUGAUGAUUAUUGCUGCUGAUUUGUGUUUUUCUGGUUUCACAUUAAUUAGAUCAGAGUUUUAUAAGACUUUUAACAUCUUUAGGAAGGAGGGAAGAAGUCAAGUGAAACAGCGUGAGCUUUGACAUCUUAUAGUUUUAACACCAGAUUUAACAUUUUACUGAAGGACGACGUCAAAGGUUUCUGUUGUUUGAGAGGAGAUCAGUUCCCACAAUACAGCGCUCCAUGCGAGGUUACCAUGGUGACGGCGCCAUGACACCAAUAAAAACGUUACUGAUCCCUCCGAGCCGUCCUCAAUCUAUGACGUCAUUGGUAUCAGCAGCUUCGGCGUCUGUUUGUGGUCAAUCAGACCUGGAGAAGGAGUACACGCAGUAUUGCAUGUACUCCGAUGUAUGUAUCUGACAUAUCUGGUACUAGUACAGUAGUACUUCAACUUCAAGGAGUCUCAUGUAGACGCAAACCGUGCUCCAUUAUUUUGAAAGUCAAACAACUUCACUUCCGGUGGCUCUGACUUCGAUCAGCUGGUCAGCCGCGCGCACUGCAAAGGAUUUUGUGAAUUCAGGUGGCUUUUAUUGUGACUUCCGGUUGCACCACCUUCUACGGAAAUAUGAAGAAAGAUACGUGAUGAUGAAAUAAGCACGAGGGAGUCAACCUGCUGGUGCGUCAGAUAAUAUUUAUAUUUAUAUAUUUAUAUUUAUUUAUAUGUAUUUUGUUGGCUGUAUUUGGGAGCUCCGCCUCUAGGGGCCGCUGCAGAAUCUCUUCUGCUCUUUACACCAUCAGUUUCCAGGCGAAGACAUUUUUUGCAGCGAGGCCACCUUCUCCACCCGGCGCAC
Gasterosteus aculeatus aculeatus (three-spined stickleback) is the source of this 1583-nucleotide long non-coding RNA. The record is from Ensembl. NCBI's taxonomy places the organism in Eukaryota, Metazoa, Chordata, Actinopteri, Perciformes, Gasterosteidae.